Long non-coding RNA from Daphnia pulex (common water flea), 3824 nucleotides. RefSeq lists it as uncharacterized. Lineage: Eukaryota; Metazoa; Arthropoda; Branchiopoda; Diplostraca; Daphniidae. The record is from RefSeq and is a predicted model, not a curated record. The transcript is spliced from 18 exons.
AUUGGGGACUACACAAAUUUUUCCGUAACGAAUUAUCAGCCUUCCUGCCUUCGCAUUUCAAAAUUGCCAUUAGAUGGCUGCUCUCCGACUUGUGAAUGCCGCGAGCGCUGCGAGUACCGAGAAGAAAAGUCUGGCGUUGCUGUAUGAAGUUGAAGAAGUGUCUCAAAAUUUCUUGAUAAGCCAUUUUGAAAAGUGAUUCCAACGAGAAACGUUCUUCCGCUGUCUACAAUUUAUUGUGAGAUCUAAUUUAAAUGAACGCCAUCCUUCUAGUACAAAUUGUUUGCAACUAAUGUUGAUGACAAGAUGCAGGAUACCAUAUUGGUUAAGGCAUGACAUUGAAGAGAUAUCGUCAGUUUUUUCACCAUUGCAUUCAUCACAUCACAGAAGGAAUGAAGGGACGGUGUUGCUACUGAUAUGGGAUGUUGAGUCAAGACUGUGCAGCAAUCCAGUAACACCAUCAGACAUGGCUACAAGAAGUUGGAAAUGUACUUGCUCGUUGUGAUCGUCCACAAUUCGUUACCAAGGGCAUGUGAUUACCACGACGUACUUGAAGGUGGCUAACUUGGAACAUGAUGGUGUCUUGGUGGAGUAUUGCUAGGUGCUGACCUUUCAACACCGAUUGAUGAGUAUUGCUGUUCGAGAAGUUACUUCUGUGUGUGUUUAACGGUCGGAAGCAACAGUAGCAGUAGCCUGCACAGCAUCGCAUGUUUCAAUAUGUAUGUCGGGUGGUGGAACCAACUUGUUAGCUGGAUUGAAACCUACUUGCUAUCACUGGAUUCAACUGAGUGGUUAUAGCUGUGGGUGUUGGAUCGAGUCAGGGAGAGGCUGUAAUCUGAACAAUAGGAUUAUUUCAGUUGGGUUUUAUUCAACACACUAGCAAUGAAUCUACCUACGAUAUUAAAAAACUAGGCGUCGGGAGAGGGUUACUACAGAUGUUACUUGCCGCAGAAGUUCUCCAUUAACAAACCGUUAUCACUUCCAUUAUAUCAAAGGACUUACGCAUCACAAACUUGAAGGUGAUGAAAUUUGACUAUACGGUCAAUUGAGUUCGACUAUAUCACGAGGUUAAGCAUCUAGCCCAUUGUCGUUCAAGAUUUCCAUCACGGCCCCAAGAAAAACUCGCCGUCUAGAAUCUACUCAUCGGUGAAAAUCCAGGACCAUGAAGGAAAUAUCAACUCAUGCAAAACAGCUGUUGCGCUCUACGUAUUACCCAAACCCAUCAACUAAAAGAGUGUUACUCCUGGAACAUCGAUGAGUGUUGUUCGUCAAACAAUUUUUCGUAAACAAAGUUAUGUAGCUCGAAAACAAGUCGACAUACCUUGUGUCUACACAGCCGGAUUUCGCGUCAACUGGCGCAUUCAAUUAUUCAUAUCUCCAAAGAUGUCAAAAUCAACACACUAAUUAUACAUAAAACUAGCGAUGGGAAAUUUCCAUGAUUCCUCCAGCAUUCUAGCUGAUUAGGACGAUGUAACACCUCAUGGACAACUAACUACGUAAACUUGUAGUUCUUCAUCUUCUUAGUGAAGGAGUCAACCAUCCUCGUCCCAGUUUCGCACAUUAUUCAGGCUGCAUUAAGCAAUGAUACGGAUACAUUGACUGCCAUUUUGCUGAAUUGAAGCUGUGCACCAUUUUCUGGCCUUUGCUGGAACUUUGGAUAUUGACCCGCCACAAGUGAAGAUAGUUGGAGUUUACGCUGUUAGCAUUGCCACGAGUGCACGAGAGUUAGGAAUAGUUUAUGCUAGUACGACAACCUUCUUUUUUUCAAGGGAACAUUAGAGAUUGGGAUUUGGGGGAAAAAUGCGGAGUAAAAAUAAGAUUAAAUCGGCAACAAGUAUAUGUUGCUAUAGAAUAUUUGACUGUAAUAAAAACAAAUUAAAGUAGCCUUUAUAUAAUAUACAUUUAUAUUGAAGUUGAAUAUUACAUACAUUGCAUUUAUGUAAAAAAGUUAUAUUCUUAUAGUUAUUGUCAAAUGUGUCAUUUUUUUGUACCCUAUUCUUGUGAAAGUUCCUUUGCAAGUUAAACUGUUUCCGUUCCUUGGUAUUCUGUUUCGGCUUUCGAAAUAUGUAGUUAGUAAUUUGUGUUAUCAUUAUUUUUUUUUUGUUAACCAUUAAUAUUUUAAAAAGGAACAAAACCAAUGAUAUAAUGAGUUGUCUAGUAAACAAGGAAAAACCACCAAAAUUUCCUCAAUUCCCAUACUACCAACACCCUCUUCCAGCUCCUCGACCUCCUGCUAAAUACAACGGUUGUGUGCCCAACGGUGGGAUUGGAUUAUUGAUUAGUAAAGAAAACGAAGUUCACAGAAAAGAAAGGAGCCCAAAUUUGCAUUUUUUGAAGUAGCUUUAACCUAUGAUGUGUAUCAUGCAAUUUAGGAGCAGACAAAGUUUCCCAAGAUGAUUCUAUUCUGUAGUAGGGCAUUUAGCCGAGACAAAGCUGUCACAUUCCUAUGCUGCUAUCCAAUUAUCAAUGGCCAUCGGCACUUACAGAAAAAAAGAAAGAUUUAUCACAGGUAAGGCACAGUGCAGAAUGACAGGAAUAAAGCUAAAAGGGUGAUACCUAGAGGUAGCGGAAGACGAUAUUUCGUCAACUAUCUGGAAUCACUGACAGACGAGACACACAUCAGCGAACGUCAUGCUGCCUUCCACUCAUUUUUAUCCACCUUGGGUAUUUUGUCUGUUGUGAUGUGUGAUGCUGUGGUGGUGGCUUUUUGGUGAAGACGAGAUACAAAUUUGGAGGAGAGAAUAUUACAUAUGGGCUUAUGACGUCAAAAGUUCAGCGACAUCUUCUUCGAAAAUUACCAAUGAAUUCGUUGGAGAAAAUGUGAAAGGUUCAUGAAGCCUGUACUGUCAACUAUUGUGAAUCCUGGUAUCCUAACUGAAUAUGUCAUCCAAAUGACAGAGUGGAUUCGAAAAUUUACCGUAAGUCUGAAAUAGCUAACUAAAUCAUUUGUAUGUUGCGUCAUAGUGAAAGGUGAAAGGCGUGAGGAAUUGCAAAUUUAGCUGCUGCGUGCUGUCUGCAAGGAAGCAAUCCAAUUGGCUGUCGCUAGGUGGCGCGAGCGUCUUCGGCCAUUUUGUUCCUUGACAAAUGAGAAGUGGGAUGCUGCAUGCUGGUCGUGACGUUUCCCAUGGUGAAAAUGUAAAGGUGAUUUCAAUACCACUUUGUCAAACCAGAAUCUAUCUGGGAAGCCUGUCCAUUUUGCUGAAAUGUCGUGCCUCGUGUGUCUUGCUGCCUGCACCCAGUCGUAUGUCUCGUGCCAUGCUAAAGCAAAAUUUGAUGCCAACCAACUAUGACUUCCUUUGUAAAAUUUGAAAUAUCGGAGAGAUCUGUUGGACUGCGUAGCUUUGUCUUACUCCUGGUCCGCUGUUGGUUACCUUAUUGCAGCCAGGUGGUGAAAGAUGUGAUGGAGACUAAUUGAACUGUUGUAUGCAGCGUGUGGUUCCAGUGUUAUCCAGAAGUAGCUGUGCUGGCGGUAUCCUGAACUAGCCUGAAGUUGCCAGUGAUAUCUGGGUCUCUGACUUUAAAUAUAUUUUAUGUUUGCAUUUGUGUAUUUCUCUCUGCCAAUGCUAUCCUGUGUUUGAAAUCUUUUCUCAUUCGUGUUUUUUGCUCUACCAGUGAUUUCCUGUGUUUCACUCUUGAAAUGGUUCCAUUGUCUUUGGCGUUUUUAUUGUGCAGUAUACGAUUGAGGCAACCUGAUCUAUGUCAGGUUUGACUCAGUCGACAACUGCUAGAUUAAAUUCCGGCUUUCUGCACCAACAAAAUAAUAACGGCACAUGUUAUUAUCGCGGUUGGGAAAGUCACAGGCCCCCCCCUCCCUGGGGGCCAUAAAA